This 120-nucleotide small RNA is filed under the name Marmota monax (woodchuck). The record is from RNAcentral. Lineage: Eukaryota; Metazoa; Chordata; Mammalia; Rodentia; Sciuridae.
GCCAGGCAGGGUGGCGCAUGCCUGUAAUCCCAGCAACGUGGAGGCUGAGGCAGGAGGAUGGCAGGUUCAAUCACAGCAAUCUGGUGAGCCCCUAAGCAACUUAGUACGACCCUGUUUCAA